UACGAAGGGGCUAGCGUUGCUCGGAAUUACUGGCGUAAAGCGCACGUAGGCGGCUUUCUAAGUCGGGGGUGAAAUCCUGGAGCUCAACUCCAGAACUGCCUUCGAUACUGGAAGCUCGAGUCCGGGAGAGGUGAGUGGAACUGCGAGUGUAGAGGUGAAAUUCGUAGAUAUUCGCAAGAACACCAGUGGCGAAGGCGGCUCACUGGCCCGGUACUGACGCUGAGGUGCGAAAGCGUGGGGAGCAAACAGGG
Molecule: ribosomal RNA, 251 nt
Filed under: uncultured bacterium
Lineage: Bacteria
Description: partial 16S ribosomal RNA
Rfam family: Bacterial small subunit ribosomal RNA
Source: RNAcentral